This 372-nucleotide long non-coding RNA is filed under the name Olea europaea (common olive). Its description in RNAcentral is "long non-coding RNA (OEUR_LNC007014)". The record is from RNAcentral. Lineage: Eukaryota; Viridiplantae; Streptophyta; Magnoliopsida; Lamiales; Oleaceae.
CCACCAACAUCUCACCAUCGCCCCCACCCACUACCACAGCCACUGCUAACCACCACCAAAACACCAGUUCCGCCAAAACACCACCAAACCAACAAAUCUGCCACCAUAGAUCAACCCACCAUCUCAAAAACAGCCAGUCGGCAGCACCGCACACUGCUAGAGCAACCACCAUGCCGCCAAUACCACCGUACCCUUACACAACAGCAUGCCCAACCACCGUCCCUACACAUCAUCGAAACCACGCACCACCACCUCUUCCACAACCCACGACACCACACCUGCACAAUACAAACACCACCACAAAACUCACUUCCACCACCAGUUCCACCAUUCCCAUUAGAUCCAGCACCAUCGCCAACAACCGUAAUCCCC